GGGGAUGUGGCUCAAGCAGUAGCGCGCUCACCUGGCAUGUGGGGGGCACUGGGUUCGAUCCUCAGCACCACA
This 72-nucleotide transfer RNA is filed under the name Marmota monax (woodchuck). RNAcentral's name for it is "tRNA.Ala". The record is from RNAcentral. Lineage: Eukaryota; Metazoa; Chordata; Mammalia; Rodentia; Sciuridae.